GGGAGAAACAUUUAAUCACUUGGAUUUCCUUACCUGAAUGAUUGAGCAUGCAUUAAAACAAGCAAACAAACAGACAGACAGACAGACAGACAGACAGACGUAUUUAAUUCCUCCCUUGCAAUAAUCCGACAAAUAUGGGUUUGGGUUAAAAUAGGAUAACAGUGGAGGAGUACAGCUCAAACAUUUUGGAAGAGGCAAGUGUGAAGGUUAAGAUGUUUUGGGCAUGUGCCUAGGUGGGAAAGUGGAUAUAUUGGACACAUUAGACAGGGGGUGUUGAAUAUGGAGCUGCCAGGCAGGGGGACAAAAGGAAGACCUCAGAGGAGGUUCAUGGAUCUAGUGAAGCAGGACAUGCAGAGGGCUGGCGUGACAGAGGAUGCUAGAGAUAGGGUGAGAUGGAGGCAGAUAAUCUGUUGCUGCUGUGAUAACCCCCUAAAGAGAGCAGCCAAAAGAAGGAGAAGAUUCAAGUAUAUAACUUGUGCAGUAAGACUAUAACUUUUACUUAAUUGAAAAGUCUAACUUUUUUCCCAUGCUAAUUUUCUGCAGUGAUUUUAUUCCUAAAAAAUGUUCAGAUUCCCCGACCCCUUUCUUCCAGAUAAUGAUCAAGGAAAUGACGUCAGAGUUUCCACCCUUGAUUGCUAGGAAGCGUCCCACUUCGCAUCUCCGGGGGUUGUUUAUACUCCACCCAGGAACUACAGGGGCAGGGACGGAUAGUUGGAGACGCGCAUACAGCGUUAUAGUCAGAUACGUUGCUACUAUUAUUUUGCUAAUUUGGACAGUCAUGGAUGGCAUAGAAAUGAAUGCUGUAGAAACAAUAGACUCUGGCACCUUGGAGUUCAGAGACCCAGAAGGCGACCUGGCCUUGAGUGCACAGCUUAACGCGAAUCGAGCAUUUAUUUCAGAGAGUACAUUACUCCCUGUUAUUGGCUUGGUUGCCAUCAUUGUGAUCAUCUGCAUUUGCUGGUGUUGUAAAAUGAACUGCAAGUCUUCUCCUCAGACUCAGACUGAAGGCUCACCUGAGCCUAAUGUAUAUUGUCAUGAUCAGGAUCAACCUACAGGUCAGCGUUAUUCUGGUGAACCACCUCCUCCAUAUUGGUCCUGUCAGCCCAUGAAUUUUCAUGUUCCUGAACAACCUACGGGUACCUCGUCUGAGCCACCGGCAUAUCAUGAAGUUGCACUUCCAGGCAGGUGGAAUUCCACUCCACAUCCCCCAGUCAGCUCAGACCCCCUGCUCUCAACCCUGGAACCACACUUUGAUCUGGAAGGAGUAACAGUUCCCUCUGCACCUUCUCUUAGUUCAGAGUUUUAG
Molecule: long non-coding RNA, 1306 nt
Filed under: Oreochromis niloticus (Nile tilapia)
Lineage: Eukaryota; Metazoa; Chordata; Actinopteri; Cichliformes; Cichlidae
Description: lncRNA (ENSONIG00000032726.1)
Source: RNAcentral